Molecule: non-coding RNA, 90 nt
Organism: Aromia moschata
Lineage: Eukaryota; Metazoa; Arthropoda; Insecta; Coleoptera; Cerambycidae
Source: the annotation of a GenBank genome assembly
GCGGCGAUAGCUCAGUGGGUAAAGCGCAAGAUAGGAGAUAGUGACUAGUCUGGAAAAUUACCUACGCGGGUUCGAAUCCCGCCUGUGGCA